This 377-nucleotide ribosomal RNA is filed under the name uncultured organism. RNAcentral's name for it is "partial 16S ribosomal RNA". It matches the Rfam family "Bacterial small subunit ribosomal RNA", at positions 527 to 896 of the family's 1533-position model. The record is from RNAcentral.
GUAGGGGGCGAGCGUUGUCCGGGAUUUAUUGGGGCGUAAAGAGCUCGUAGGCGGUUGCGUAAGUCGGGAUGUGAAAACUCAGGGGCUCAACCCUGAGAUGCCAUUCGAUACUGCGCUGACUCGAGUCCGGUAGGGGAGCAUGGAAUUCCUGGUGUAGCGGUGAAAUGCGCAGAUAUCAGGAGGAACACCAGUGGCGAAGGCGGUGCUCUGGGCCGGUACUGACGCUGAGGAGCGAAAGCAUGGGUAGCAAACAGGAUUAGAUACCCUGGUAGUCCAUGCCGUAAACGUUGGGCACUAGGUGUGGGGCCUACUUAACGGGUUCCGUGCCGUAGCUAACGCAUUAAGUGCCCCGCCUGGGGAGUACGGCCGCAAGGCUA